UACGUAGGUCCCGAGCGUUGUCCGGAUUUAUUGGGCGUAAAGCGAGCGCAGGUGGUUUAUUAAGUCUGGUGUAAAAGGCAGUGGCUCAACCAUUGUAUGCAUUGGAAACUGGUAGACUUGAGUGCAGGAGAGGAGAGUGGAAUUCCAUGUGUAGCGGUGAAAUGCGUAGAUAUUAGGAGGAACACCGGUGGCGAAAGCGGCUCUCUGGCCUGUAACUGACACUGAGGCUCGAAAGCGUGGGGAGCAAACAGG
This 252-nucleotide ribosomal RNA is filed under the name uncultured bacterium. RNAcentral's name for it is "partial 16S ribosomal RNA". It matches the Rfam family "Bacterial small subunit ribosomal RNA", at positions 524 to 776 of the family's 1533-position model. The record is from RNAcentral.